GAUGAACGCUGGCGGCGUGCCUAAUACAUGCAAGUCGAGCGAACAGACGAGGAGCUUGCUCCUCUGACGUUAGCGGCGGACGGGUGAGUAACACGUGGAUCACCUACCUAUAAGACUGGGAUAACUUCGGGAAACCGGCGCUAAUACCGGAUAAUCUAUUGAACCGCAUGGUUCAAUAGUGAAAGACGGUUUUGCUGUCUCUUAUAGAUGGAUCCGCGCCGCAUUAGCUAGUUGGUAAGGUAACGGCCUACCAAGGCGACGAUGCGUAGCCGAGCUGAGAGAGUGAUCGGCCACACUGGAACUGAGACACGGUCCAGACUCCUACGGGAGGCAGCAGUAGGGAAUCUUCCGCAAUGGGCGAAAGCCUGACGGAGCAACGCCGCGUGAGUGAUGAAGGUCUUCGGAUCGUAAAACUCUGUUAUUAGGGAAGAACAAAUGUGUAAGUAACUAUGCACGUCUUGACGGUACCUAAUCAGAAAGCCACGGCUAACUACGUG
Molecule: ribosomal RNA, 497 nt
Filed under: uncultured bacterium
Lineage: Bacteria
Description: partial 16S ribosomal RNA
Rfam family: Bacterial small subunit ribosomal RNA
Source: RNAcentral